GUGGCUGUAGCUUAGUGGUAGAGCUCUUACCUAGCAUGUGUGAGGCACUGGGUUUGAUCCUCAGCACCACA
RNAcentral lists this transfer RNA (71 nucleotides) under Marmota marmota marmota (Alpine marmot). It matches the Rfam family "tRNA". Rfam says of the family: Transfer RNA (tRNA) molecules are approximately 80 nucleotides in length. Their secondary structure includes four short double-helical elements and three loops (D, anti-codon, and T loops). The record is from Rfam by way of RNAcentral. RNAcentral also lists the same sequence under 1 other name. Lineage: Eukaryota; Metazoa; Chordata; Mammalia; Rodentia; Sciuridae.